GAUGAACGCUGGCGGCGUGCCUAAUACAUGCAAGUCGAGCGAACAGAUGAGGAGCUUGCUCCUCUGACGUUAGCGGCGGACGGGGGAGUAACACGUGGAUAACCUACCUAUAAGACUGGGAUAACUUCGGGAAACCGGAGCUAAUACCGGAUAAUAUAUUUAACCGCAUGGUUCAAUAGUGAAAGACGGUUUUGCUUUCACUUAUAGAUGGAUCCGCGCCGCAUUAGCUAGUUGGUAAGGUAACGGCUUACCAAGGCAACGAUGCGUAGCCGACCUGAGAGGGUGAUCGGCCACACUGGAACUGAGACACGGUCCAGACUCCUACGGGAGGCAGCAGUAGGGAAUCUUCCGCAAUGGGCGAAAGCCUGACGGAGCAACGCCGCGUGAGUGAUGAAGGUCUUCGGAUCGUAAAACUCUGUUAUUAGGGAAGAACAAAUGUGUAAGUAACUAUGCACGUCUUGACGGUACCUAAUCAGAAAGCCACGGCUAACUACGUG
This 497-nucleotide ribosomal RNA is filed under the name uncultured bacterium. RNAcentral's name for it is "partial 16S ribosomal RNA". It matches the Rfam family "Bacterial small subunit ribosomal RNA", at positions 28 to 507 of the family's 1533-position model. The record is from RNAcentral.